GAAACACAAUAUGUCGUUUUACUUCUUUUUUUUAACCUGUGAAAAUGGUACAAAAAUUAGAAAAUAAAAAUAAUAAUCCUGACUAUCAUUUAAGCAGUGUCAUGCAGGCCCAAUCACUUUCCUUUCUUCGUGUUUAAACGUUUGCCUGAUUUUUUAGCCUUUAAAAAAGAUUUACAAAUAACAAUUUCGCCGUCUACAGGAAACUGCUGAGCGUUAAUAUUAAGUGCAAUUACAAAUAACAAGGCAAAAUACUCAAAACAACCUAUUAAAAAAGUGUCAUCUGCAGAUCCUUCGAGAAAAGAUGUUGUAACUUAAACACGUGGGUGGAGCGGGUGUGCAGGACAGCACGCUUCUCUCAAUCAUUUUAAAUAAUCCACCAACGUCAGAUUAGCACCAUGAAGAAGGUGAACCGUGAGGGAAGCGAGUGGGAUCCAUCGCUACACACACCGUGGAGCUGAGAUGAGGACACUCCAUGACAAGAAGAAGAGCUAACUAGGAGACCAAGAAAAAUCAGUUCUGAAGCGUUUCCGCUAGAUAGUUCCCCGUUAAGUGUAGAUAAAGCUAGCUUGUCGAUCCAAGAAAGACAAUGAAUCAACACAGCAGAGAGAAUGCCGUUAGCUGGAGGGGAGACUGGACUAGCCAGCGCGCUAGCUCACAGGAUAAAGGUCCGAGCACAAACUCAGCUCAACCGCAGCUGGAUACACUGAACACACCAAAUUACGCU
This is a long non-coding RNA of Ictalurus furcatus (blue catfish), 724 nucleotides long. RefSeq lists it as uncharacterized. NCBI's taxonomy places the organism in Eukaryota, Metazoa, Chordata, Actinopteri, Siluriformes, Ictaluridae. The record is from RefSeq and is a predicted model, not a curated record. The transcript has 2 exons.